UUCUCACACCAAAUGUUCGCCUAUAAAAGAGACCCGUCUUGGACACGCAACACCCAACAACUGAGUUCUGCAAGUUGCAAGCAACAUCCCAGCAGCCAUCAACAUGAACAAGUGCAGUGCUAUCCUUGCCCUAGCCCUCGUGGUUGUCCUGUGUCUAGUCGCCGUUGAAGCCCAGUUUGGAUACGGACGUGGCUUCGGUCGUGGCUACGGCGGAUAUGGAGGCUACGGCCGUGGCUUCGGUGGAUACGGUGGAUACGGCCGUGGCUUCGGUGGAUACGGUGGAUACGGCCGCGGAUACGGUGGAUACGGCCGCGGUUUCUAUGGCUAACUUUCAAGUUGCUAACACCCUCGCAGUCAAACACCCUCUCUUUAAUAAGACGGACGUUACCUAUGGACAGACAUCAACGAUUAUGGAGCUCGAGCCAAGUUCCCCAUCCCUCUUUCAUCACCGGCAAAAUUUCCGUUUGUGAAAAAUAAACAAUGUUCGAAGCAAUCGACCUAUA
Molecule: long non-coding RNA, 503 nt
Organism: Ornithodoros turicata
Lineage: Eukaryota; Metazoa; Arthropoda; Arachnida; Ixodida; Argasidae
Exons: 3
Source: RefSeq, a predicted model, not a curated record